AGGAUUAGAUACCCGGGUAGUCCCAGCUGUAAACGAUGCAGACUAGGUGUUUGAACGGCCACGUGCCGUUCUAGUGCCGCAGGGAAGCUGUUAAGUCUGCCGCCUGGGGAGUACGAUCGCAAGAUUGAAACUUAAAGGAAUUGGCGGGGGAGCACCACAAGGGGUGAAGCUUGCGGUUUAAUUGGAGUCAACGCCGGAAAUCUCACCGGGAGCGACAGCAGUAUGAAAGCCAGAUUGAAGGUCUUGCUAGACGAGCUGAGAGGAGGUGCAUGGCCGUCGCCAGUUCGUGCCGUGAGGUGUCCUGUUAAGUCAGGCAACGAUCGAGACCCGCGUCCUCUGUUGCAACCAGCUUUGAGCUGGGCACACUGAGGAGACCGCCACUGAUAAAGUGGAGGAAGGAGCGGGCCACGGCAGGUCAGUAUGCCCCGAAUCUCCCGGGCCACACGCGAGCUGCAAUGGCAAGUACAAUGGGUUCCGACCUCGAAAGGGGGAGGCAAUCUCGAAAGCUUGCCGUAGUUGGAAUUGAGGGUUGAAACCCACCCUCAUGAACAUGGAAUCCCUAGUAAUCGCGUGUCACUAGCGCGCGGUGAAUACGUCCCUGCUCCUUGCACACACCGCCCGUCGUUCCAUCCGAGUGACUCUUGGGUGGGGCACCGUCUAAUUGGCGGCGUCGAAUCUAAGUUUCACAAGGAGGGAAAAGUCGUAACAAG
RNAcentral lists this ribosomal RNA (710 nucleotides) under uncultured bacterium. RNAcentral describes it as "bacterial SSU rRNA". It matches the Rfam family "Archaeal small subunit ribosomal RNA", at positions 725 to 1442 of the family's 1478-position model. The record is from RNAcentral.